UAUAUUUAGUAUUGUAAUGUUUCAAUAUCUCUCACAGACAGCGCUACACUGGGCUGCGAAACAUGGUAAAGAAGACAUGACCACAAUGUUGGCAGAAGCAGGGGCUGACAUCAGUAUAAAAGCACAUGCUCAGAGCAAAGCAAUUUCACUGAAUUACCAGGCAAUUAUGAUUCUGUCAUUAGAUUUUGUUGCUGUAACCUCAGUUAAUUAGUGUCCCGUCUUUCUCUCCCCCUCUUCUCUUCGUUCUGUCACUCUCUGAUUCUGUUGUGUUGUGUUUGUUAUGACUGGGACAUGGGCACUAGGGGGGUGGGGGGUGAAAUUUUCCUUCACCCUGUCCAUUUCCUUUUCAUUUCUGUUUUGUGGUGAGAUUGAUCACUAGAGAUAUUUAAAAUAGAA
This is a long non-coding RNA of Sinocyclocheilus anshuiensis, 396 nucleotides long. RefSeq lists it as uncharacterized. Lineage: Eukaryota; Metazoa; Chordata; Actinopteri; Cypriniformes; Cyprinidae. The transcript is spliced from 3 exons. The record is from RefSeq and is a predicted model, not a curated record.